Molecule: long non-coding RNA, 1387 nt
Organism: Thunnus maccoyii (southern bluefin tuna)
Lineage: Eukaryota; Metazoa; Chordata; Actinopteri; Scombriformes; Scombridae
Exons: 2
Source: RefSeq, a predicted model, not a curated record
CGAGCACACCUGUGUUGCCUGUAGUCAACUAGACACAGGUGAACUCAAUCUGCUCUCACUCAGUGCUCCUAUAACUAGGAGGAGAAAACAUUGUUCUGUUUGCUGCCACCAACCAGACCUGUGUCCUCUUAUGCCUGUUGUGUGCUUCUAAAAGUGAAUUAUUCUUUAAUGUUUAUUAGUUUGAUAACGCCACAAAUUUGUUUAGUUCGAUUUGUGAUUCAUUCCAGUGUUUAACUGAUGUUUUGUUUAAAUAUUACAAACUUUGUCCAGAGCCAAUGAGAAUUUGAUUGUGAUAGUUAAGAUGGUUAAUAUGAGAACUGUUCUCUUAUGCCAUAUGUAUUUCUCUUCAUUUAAUUUCCUUUUUUGUGGAAUCUGCCACCUCGCUCUCCUUAAUUCUGCUGCCUCACGCAGCAGCACGGCUGGUCUUAAACCAGCCUUAAACAGCACAUGUCCCAGUUGCUGCCCACAUCAAAUUCAAAACAGCAACUAAAACAGCUCCCGCCUACCUGAACUCUCUCAGUCAGGUCUACACUCCUUGUUCUCUCCUGACUAGAUCAUUGCUUAUGUUGUAUCAGCUCUCAGAUGUGUGUCGCUUUGGAUAAAAGCGGCUGCUAAAUGAAAUUGAAAUUGCCUCAGGCUCCAGUCCUCUCCCAUUAGGUUAUACCUUAAACAGUUAUAAACAUACGGAAUAAACCAUAUCUGGAAUCAUGUUAGGCAGAGCUUUGUGGAAUCCUUCCAGGCUGUUACUUCCACAGAGACCCUUGUAACAGGAAAUGUCUGCACCGUUGAUGGUUGUGGUACGAACCACCUGGUAAAUUCUCAUUUCCAGAGGAUCCUGGGUACACUCACACCUUGUCUAUGGUGGAUGUACAUAAACCAUAACAAACAGUUUAACAUUUAUAAAAUGAGCAGUAUUAUAUGUGCACCAACAAAGUACAUAUUCAAAAAUACUACACUAACAUUAUAGUAUGUAGACCAUAGAGUGUAUAUGUACCGUGCAUUUGAUACUUGCCAUAUUGAAAGUAGUAUUGAUAACUUUUUUUAUAUGUUUGUAUAAAGUUUUGUACCUGGUGAUUCGAAAAGGCUGACCCCAUUCUCAUCUAACCCAGCGGGUCCUUUGAGCUCUUCACUGGCUGACUGAAAUGUCUCCUGAACCCCAAGUUUGACUGAACAUGGUGCUUGAGUUGGUCCCUACAGACACUACCUUUUGCAUUUGCAGUUAUUUAAUUAGGAGGUACAGUUUUUCUUUCUAUAAUUGAUAAAUGAAACUGUUUCUUUUAGGACUGCAUCCAACAGCAAAUGUCAUUUCUCCCAUUAGUAAAUGAGGAACAACAGAAUUAGAACAACUUAUAUUAAUACAAAUUUGACAAAAAUGACUCUUGAUCUU